RNAcentral lists this small RNA (1552 nucleotides) under Malus domestica (apple). RNAcentral describes it as "sRNA MD11G0071000". The record is from RNAcentral. Lineage: Eukaryota; Viridiplantae; Streptophyta; Magnoliopsida; Rosales; Rosaceae.
AUAUUAAAUCCAUGUUAGCCUGGCCGCUGCCGCCCUGGAACCAUCGCUCUUCGAUUUGUUUCGACACACACUACUCGAAAUUUGCAGGAUGCUAUGGUGAUAUUUUCUACGAUCUAAACAAAUUAACUAUUUAAUGUUAGUAGUUUGUGUUAUAUAAAGCUACGCAUGUUAGGAGUAAAGUAAUUUAUUAUUUGUUCUUAGCCCUUGGUUUAUAAAUCCCAACUUUAAAAUUCCAAGUAGAUGUGUCUGUUAAUCGAUUGCAUUUGGGAUGGAAAUGGUUUUGAAUGAUUUGGAUUUUCAUUAAUUUUAAUUCAUCUGCUAAUCAUAGUUUCAUGUAUUAGAUAGUUGCUUUGCUCUCACAAAUUUUGUUGGUAGGGGUUCAGCAAAGCUUUCUAGGGCUAAAUCUUCAGUUUGCUGUUGGGACCUUGGUAACUUGAUUGAAUAGGAAUUUUGUGAUUAGGAAUUUGUGGGUUUACCUCCGAAUUUAAUCCCUUUCUUAAGAGGGAUCUAGCCGUAACACACAGCAGCAAUGGGGGAAGAGAAGCGGCACCAGGUUCGGCGAUCAAUCUGGAGAGGAAGAGGUCAAUUUUGAGCACAAGUCCAAUCCCCGGCCCAAUUCUUUGUUUAGGCCAGGACUUGGUGCGAUGGCAAGUGCUUUCGCCCAUGAGCGGUAGGUCUCGGGUUCGAGACUUGGGAGCAGCCUCUCCAUAAAUGGGGGUAAGGCUAGCCGACAUUCACCUCUCUCAGACCCUACGUAAAGCGGGAGCCUUGUGCACUGGGUAAUAAAGGUGGUCCAACUAGUAGCUGAUAAAAUGUCUUUAUAUAUAUGCUUUUGUUGAUUUCUGCUGCGAUAAUGAGGGAAUCUAGAGGAUCAAGGCCAGUCAAUCUGAGCACAGUCGGACUACAUAAUCCUACCAUUGGGCUAUUUCUAUAGAGGGUUUAUGUUGACUUUUGUUGGCCUGUUGACAGUCUGGUAGGUCUAUCAUAUUGAUGGAACUAAAUUGUGAGUUAGUUAUGGUUUAGAUUGUUGAAUUUUGAAUUCGCAAUUCCCUUUGAAACUGUCACAAGCGAUGUGUCUGUUGUGGCUACAGGAAUCAAAAGCGAGUGAAAGAAUUGUAUAAUCCUUUUGAAGCAGUGGGGAGCCGCGGUUCGAUUUUGGUAGGAUUGGCAUGUGGUUGUUCACGCCUUUACGGCCACUUUGUGUCUGGCAAAGAUACCUUCGUUAAGUAAUUUGAGAAGCAUGGGGAGAUAAUAGACUAAUCAAAGAGAUGCAUGUGAUCAACGAUAAAUAGGUGACCCUCCGACAGCCACGGAAACGACAACCCACUUCUGAGAUCGGAAGCUAGCGUAUGGAGACGGCGUGUCGGAGAUUGUCUUGACGGCGGAUUCGAGCUGUGGCAUCUGAAUCUUCUUGAAACCCGUAUCUGGCUGACUUGCAGAGCCACCAUCGCAAAGAAGAAAAUCUGAAAAGCUCAAACCUUAUCUUUUUCUCCUAUAACGAUGUUGUUUUAGUGAAUUGCUUUAAGUUUGUGUACUUUUAAGUUUUAUGUAG